RNAcentral lists this small nuclear RNA (23 nucleotides) under Arabidopsis thaliana (thale cress). RNAcentral describes it as "snRNA_12466". Lineage: Eukaryota; Viridiplantae; Streptophyta; Magnoliopsida; Brassicales; Brassicaceae. The record is from RNAcentral.
UACUGAUUGCAAUGGCCAUUAUU